Molecule: ribosomal RNA, 804 nt
Filed under: Sphingobacterium sp. O33 UNDR-2009
Lineage: Bacteria; Pseudomonadati; Bacteroidota; Sphingobacteriia; Sphingobacteriales; Sphingobacteriaceae
Description: partial 16S ribosomal RNA
Rfam family: Bacterial small subunit ribosomal RNA (bases 181-804)
Source: RNAcentral
UUAUUUGAAACCCUGGAAGSCACNGAAANGCCSUGGGGGAUUCAAAACAGGNAAUUAGAUAANCCCUUGGUADUUUCMACCUCCCUUAAAACCAAWUGNAACAACUUCGCCUKNUUGGCSGAUAACAACAGUUCCAGCSGGCCUAAAGCGAAAAAGGCGGUUAARGUUGUUUCCACCUUGGGGGAGUUACGGCUNCGUCAAGGAGNUNAAAACCUCCAAAGGAAUUUGACCGGGGGGGCCCNGCACCAAGCGGAGGGAGGCAUGGUGGUUUAAAUUUCGAUGAUAACGCGAAGGGAACCUUACCCCGGGGCGUUGAAAGUUAAGUGRGAUCAUUUAGAGAUAAAUGAGUUGAGCAAUCACCACGAAACUAGKUGCUGCAUGCCUGUCGUCAGCUCGUGGCCGUGAGGUGUUGGGGUUAAGUCCCGCAACGAGCGCAACCCCUAUGUUUAGUUGCCAGCACGUUAUGGUGGGGACUCUAAACAGACUGCCUGUGCAAACAGAGAGGAAGGAGGGGACGACGUCAAGUCAUCAUGGCCCUUACGUCCGGGGCUACACACGUGCUACAAUGGAUGGUACAGAGGGCAGCUACAUAGCAAUAUGAUGCGAAUCUCACRAAGCCAUUCACAGUUCGGAUUGGGGUCUGCAACUCGACCCCAUGAAGUUGGAUUCGCCUAGUAAUCGCGUAUCAGCAAUGACGCGGUGAAUACGUUCCCGGGCCUUGUACACACCGCCCGUCAAGCCAUGGAAGUUGGGGGUACCCUWAASUAUKAACCGGCARGGAGCKUCCUUAGGUAWACCUAAUGG